Molecule: unclassified non-coding RNA, 357 nt
Filed under: Hevea brasiliensis (rubber tree)
Lineage: Eukaryota; Viridiplantae; Streptophyta; Magnoliopsida; Malpighiales; Euphorbiaceae
Source: RNAcentral
UUUGUCUGCAGAGGACCUUAUUACAAGAUCUUGGAAUGAUGCUGUGAAAUAUUGUCACUUCUAAACUUGGACAACAGACUAAAAUUAGCAACUGGUUCCCAAAAUUUGAAGCAGUAGAUAUUAUUUGAAGAUCUAACUAGUUUUAAAGACCUAAGCUCAUAUUCUAUGUAUUUUAGCCCCCAAAGUUACAGAAAACUGUCUCAGAGCAGCAAAAGAACCAUAACAUAGCAAAGGUAAUGUCAAUGAACAUAACACUGCCAUCAAAUUGCAAAUGCAGCUAGAAAUGCAACACAAUAGUGUAUACUGGACCCACUUCACACUCAGUCGAGAACCAAUUAAAAGAAGAAGAAGAAGAAG